AAGAAUUUAGGUUAUUUUGUAAACUUAAAACCUUCAAAGUUUUAGAAAUUAUAUUUUAUUAAUUCUUA
RNAcentral lists this transfer RNA (68 nucleotides) under Clavelina oblonga. RNAcentral describes it as "transfer RNA-Trp". Lineage: Eukaryota; Metazoa; Chordata; Ascidiacea; Aplousobranchia; Clavelinidae. The record is from RNAcentral.